RNAcentral lists this ribosomal RNA (441 nucleotides) under uncultured bacterium. RNAcentral describes it as "partial 16S ribosomal RNA". It matches the Rfam family "Bacterial small subunit ribosomal RNA", at positions 338 to 795 of the family's 1533-position model. The record is from RNAcentral.
CCUACGGGUGGCUGCAGUGGGGGAUAUUGCACAAUGGGGGGAACCCUGAUGCAGCGACGCCGCGUGGGUGAAGGAGUGCUUCGGCAUGUAAAGCCCUAUCGGCAGGGAAGAAGCAAGACGGUACCUGACUAAGAAGCCCCGGCUAACUACGUGCCAGCAGCCGCGGUAAUACGUAGGGGGCGAGCGUUAGCCGGGUUCACUGGGUGUAAAGGGAGCGUAGACGGCCAUGCAAGCCAGGGGUGAAAGCCCGGGGCCCAACCCCGGGACUGCCCUUGGAACUGCAUGGCUGGAGUGCGGGAGGGGCAGGCGGAAUUCGUGGUGUAGGGGUGAAAUGCGUAGAUAUCAGGAGGAACACCGGCGGCGAAGGCGGACUGCUGGACGAUGACUGACGUUGAGGCUCGAAAGCGUGGGGAGCAAACAGGAUUAGAUACCCCAGUAGUC